AAGGAGGUGACAGAAUGGUUAUGUAGCUGGCUUGAAACCAGAGUAUGGGGGUUCAAUUCCCUCCUUUCUCG
Molecule: transfer RNA, 71 nt
Filed under: Rasbora dusonensis (rosefin rasbora)
Lineage: Eukaryota; Metazoa; Chordata; Actinopteri; Cypriniformes; Danionidae
Description: tRNA-Ser
Rfam family: tRNA
About the family: Transfer RNA (tRNA) molecules are approximately 80 nucleotides in length. Their secondary structure includes four short double-helical elements and three loops (D, anti-codon, and T loops).
Source: RNAcentral